AGUUGGGUGGUUUUCAGAGGGUUUUGGCGAUCAGAUAGAGAUUGAGAUUGAGUUUUUUCUUUUAAAAGAGAGCAGAGAUCACAGAAAAUGGUUUGCGUUUGAACCUUAAAAAUUUGUCAUUUUUGCUUUUCCGGGAAAACAUGGGAUAGGAAAUUGAGUGGGAAAGUGGUUUUUUUGUUACAUGAUGGAGGGAAAAUUCCUUAUUCUCUGAAUUGUCCGACAAUCCCACGAUCCUACAUUCUCCUCACAAUUUCUCUGAAUUCUGUUUCCUCACUUUAAAGAUUUGAGCUUUGGACGAAGUUCGUUGCCUAAAGGGUUUUUCAUUUUGGACUUUGUGAUCAUAAGUGAUUAGUGAAGGCCCUAGUCUAGUGAACAAACGUGCCCAGGAAUGCUAUCUCUUUGUGAUUGAUUAAUAUUGUGGUAUGAUUUCCCGAUAUGGUGUUGCAGAAGAGGUUAGACUAUGGAUUCAAUGGUUAUCAAGUACCUGCCAUGCCUCGAGCUACUAGAUCAGCUAGGAGGAGGGGUACAGUUAAAAAGAGAGUUGAAGAAAAUCAAAUGUGUGCAUUUGACCUGCUGGCAACUGUAGCUGGUAAUUUAUUGCUCGAGAAAGAGAGUUCUCCCACUUCAAGUAAUACAUUGAAUCAGAAAGACAAGUGCGUAAUUGUUGAUCAAGAUGGGCAUGAUGGAAAUGUGCCACUGAAGGUGGAACCUUGUGAUCAAGGAACUCGGGACAGGAAACCUUUUGUUUCUGAGCAUGAAUCACAAGCUCCUAAUGUAAACCACAGCUCGAAGGAGUCUUCAUUUCCUAGAAAUGAUGAUCAUUCGAGCUUUACUUCUAUAAUGACAACUUCUAAUUGCUCUGAGAGGUUAGUUGCUAUAAAUUCUGAUACUAGCAAAAUUAAGAAUGAAGUAGGAAGUUUCUGUAGCCAAAUAGAAGGCUUGUCUAUGUACAGGGAGUCUGGUGGCUGUAAAUUGGAAGGUGAAACUAAGACACUUGUAAAAGAUGAGUCAAAUAAUACUGGAAAAGUGCUAAUUGGCACUGCUGCUGAUAUGUGCAGUUCAGAGUAUCCAACCGUCUUUAAGGGGAAACCUCUUGUAUUGCCCAGUUCAGACUGUAGUGCGAAGGCACCUUUGUGCGGGGACCACAUCCCGCAGACAUCACUUCCCUCUACCAGGGAUGAUGUGAAAGUAGUUAGUAGAGAUGAUGACGAAAAAUCCUCAGGGUGUACUCACCCUAGCACCACAACCAGGUACUUCAAACGAGCACCACGGAUUGGAGACCGAAGGAUAAGAAAAAUAUUGGCUUCUAAAUAUUGGAAAGUUGGGUCAAAGUAUAAGGAUGAGACACUUUCAAGUCCUGAUGGCAAUAUUAAACCAAGUUACCGUAGUAGGAAAGACUGCUACAAACGCCAAAGGACUCAAAUGACUGUUCCUUUCAAAAAGAGGAAACUUUUUGAUCAUAGCUCGGUCUGGGCAUCUGAUGGAGGUACUAAUAGUGGAGGAUUUUUUAACUCAAUUGAGAAGAGCAUUGGUGAUGCCUCUGGUUCAUGUACAAAAAUGCAAGGAGGGACUGGAACUUCUUGCUCAGUUGCUGGUCAACGAACAUCAUUCCAACGCAGGGAUUCUCAUGUGAAGCUAAGGAUCAAGUCUUUCAGGGUGCCAGAGCUUUUUAUUGAGAUUCCUGAGACUGCAACUGUUGGUUCACUGAAGAGGACAGUUAUGGAUGCAGUGACAGCAAUACUCGGAGGUGGUUUACAUAUUGGUGUACUCCUUCAGGGAAAGAAAGUAAGAGAUGACAACAUAACACUACUGCAGUCUGGAAUUUCUCACGACAAGGAGCUGGAUGCUUUGGGAUUUACCCUGGAGCCUAACCCCCCACAAAGUCCCCCACCUCUAUGCUCUGGAGAUUCUCCACAUUUGCUUCCUGGUGAUGCACCUGAGAUCCUUGCAAGGUAUCCACUCAACCAGGAAAUAGUUGACCACGUUAAUGCGAAUGUCUUACCAGAGCCUCGUGUUGCUAAUUUAAGUAACUUUGUUGAAAGUGAUCAUGAUUCGACCCCCUCUCCAACUGAUACAUCAGCAGACAAAAGUACAACAGAUUCAAAAGCAUUGGUUCCCAUCCCUGAAAUGAAUGUAGAGGCUCUAUCUGUGGUUCCAGCACUACGGAAAUCCAAGCGAUCCGAUAUGGCACAGCGUCGAAUCCGUCGUCCAUUUUCUGUUACUGAAGUUGAAGCACUUGUUCAAGCGGUUGAAAAACUUGGAACUGGAAGGUGGCGUGAUGUUAAAUUGCGAGCUUUUGAUAAUGCGAAGCAUAGGACAUAUGUUGAUUUGAAGGACAAGUGGAAAACACUAGUACACACGGCAAGAAUAUCACCCCAACAAAGGAGAGGAGAGCCUGUCCCACAGGACCUGUUGGACAGGGUCCUAACUGCUCACGCACACUGGUCCCAGCAGCAAGCCAAGCAACAGCUUAAACAACAGCCUGAGACUUGCCUUCUCCUCUAAGAAAACUCUCCCACCCUAUAAUCAUCAACAAGAAGGAAACUUACUAGGAUCCAUGGGGGGAUUUAGAUGGCCAAGAAGAGGCCCCCCUUUCUUUUUCUUUUUUUAUAAUUAUUUCUUUGUGUAAUUUUGUUAAUGAUGUAAAAAUUAUGACAAGGGAAAAAGGGAUAGAGAAAGUGUGAAGAAGAUUAUGUAAUAUUUGGUUGCUCUGCGCCAUUGGGUCUUUUAUCCUUUGCAGGGAGAAGGCAAGCGCAUGUAAAUGGUUAGACACUUGACAGAAUAAGAGCAUUCGCUAACGGAAAAAUUAAUUUGACCCCAAAAGCUAAGCUGUUGAUUCUCUCUCUCUCUCGCUACUUUGGUAGAUCAAUUGGCUGUGGCAGAGGAGAAGAGGAAGACACAUUCAUUUGAGGCUUGAGCUAUUUAUAGCUUGAACCAUUAUAUAAUGUAUCAGCAAAUAUUGUUGCUGUAAGUUCUUGUACCUCAUUUUAUUUUAUGUAUUGAAAAACAUACGGCAAUUCUUACA
Molecule: RNA transcript, 3025 nt
Organism: Humulus lupulus (European hop)
Lineage: Eukaryota; Viridiplantae; Streptophyta; Magnoliopsida; Rosales; Cannabaceae
Gene name: telomere repeat-binding protein 5-like
Exons: 11
Source: RefSeq, a predicted model, not a curated record